GAACCGCGUGAAGGAUCAUUAAUGAGAGGGGUCUCUUCGACCCCGGGAGCUUCGGCGCCCAACUCUUCACCCCUUGCUUACAUACACCUAUUGCUUUGGCGGGCUCUGGGGCUUACCCCCGCCGGCUCACGCUGGUGCUUGCCCGUCAGAGGCCUAGCGAACUUCGUCUAUUAGUGUCGUCCGAGCAUAAAUACAAUAGUAAAAACUUUCAACAACGGAUCUCUUGGUUCUGGCAUCGAUGAAGAACGCAGCGAAAUGCGAUAAGUAAUGUGAAUUGCAGAAUUCAGUGAAUCAUCGAAUCUUUGAACGCACAUUGCGCCCCUCGGUAUUCCGGGGAGCACGCCUGUUCGAGCGUCAUUGCGACCCCUCAAGCUGCGCUUGGUAUUGGGUCCUCGCCCCUUCGGGCGGGCCCGAAAGUCAGUGGCGGUUCGGUGUGACUUCGAGCGUAGUAAAUUACCUCCCGCUUGGAAGGCUGACGCUGUGACCGGCCAAAACGCCCUAAUACAUCAAUGAUUGACCUCGGAUCAGGUGAGGAUACCCGCUGAACUUAA
This 551-nucleotide ribosomal RNA is filed under the name Lecanoropsis saligna. Its description in RNAcentral is "eukaryotic LSU rRNA". The stretch from base 204 to 357 matches the Rfam family "5.8S ribosomal RNA". Lineage: Eukaryota; Fungi; Ascomycota; Lecanoromycetes; Lecanorales; Lecanoraceae. The record is from RNAcentral.